AGAAGCUGAAGACCCAGGCAACAAGUUCUCUGCUCUGUACCUUUAGCCAAUAGGAUGAGUCUCCAAGACCUAUUCAGAAAAUAAUGCAUUCUGGUCUUUUAUGACCUGAAUGUGUUUUCAUCCUGUAGAACAGGAACGUGGAGGAAGCUGAACCAGUGAACUCUGAGAGCAGCACAGAGCAGUGGUUGCACCAUGAGGCCUGACACCAGGAGUCCCACCCUGACAUCCUGGACCAUUCCGGACAGACAGAGUGGGGUCCAGCUGCUCCUGUCUGAGAGGGCAGCAGAACCAGGAUAGAGGCAAGACUGGGAACCCUGUUGCUCUUUGUACUGAGAGAGUGGGUUCCCUACUAGAAAGGGGUGGGAAAUACAAGUUGGAGGAAUGAAGAAUAGGAGUCCCUUUGCCACCCCCAUCACAGGCCCCUUCCAAGGACAAUUAGGCUUUAAGUUUGGAGAGCUGCUUCCACAUACAGCAUUUCAGCUCUUUCUCCUGACCCCGGGGGAGGUGGGCAUUAUUGCUGUCCUCCAUCCCAUGGUAGAAUAGUUAGAUUGUGAAAUCUGGAGGCAGAACGGGGGCUCAAAUCCCAAUGUGUCAGUUCUGAUUGAGUGAAUGUGAGAAACUCAUUAACCUAAAUCUCAGUCACCUCAUCUAUAAAGCAGGAUAACAGAAACAAA
Molecule: long non-coding RNA, 674 nt
Filed under: Homo sapiens (human)
Lineage: Eukaryota; Metazoa; Chordata; Mammalia; Primates; Hominidae
Description: HSALNT0236115
Source: RNAcentral